AGAGUUUGAUCAUGGCUCAGAUUGAACGCUGGCGGUAUGCUUAACACAUGCAAGUCGAACGGCAGCAUGGUUCGUAGCAAUACGAACUGAUGGCGAGUGGCGGACGGGUGAGGAACGCGUAGGAACCUGCCUUGUAGAGGGGGACAACUAGAGGAAACUCUAGCUAAUACCGCAUAAAGUCGAAAGACCAAAGCUGGGGCAACCUGGCGCUGCAAGAGGGGCCUGCGUCUGAUUAGCUAGUUGGUAGGGUAAAGGCCUACCAAGGCGAUGAUCAGUAGCUGGUCUGAGAGGAUGAUCAGCCACACUGGAACUGAGACACGGUCCAGACUCCUACGGGAGGCAGCAGUGGGGAAUAUUGGACAAUGGGCGCAAGCCUGAUCCAGCAAUGCCGCGUGAGUGAGGAAGGCCUUCGGGUUGUAAAGCUCUUUCACCCACGACGAUGAUGACGGUAGUGGGAGAAGAAGCCCCGGCUAACUUCGUGCCAGCAGCCGCGGUAAUAC
Molecule: ribosomal RNA, 500 nt
Filed under: uncultured bacterium
Lineage: Bacteria
Description: bacterial SSU rRNA
Rfam family: Bacterial small subunit ribosomal RNA
Source: RNAcentral